This 1368-nucleotide ribosomal RNA is filed under the name uncultured bacterium. Its description in RNAcentral is "16S ribosomal RNA". It matches the Rfam family "Bacterial small subunit ribosomal RNA", at positions 28 to 1381 of the family's 1533-position model. The record is from RNAcentral.
GAUGAACGCUAGCGACAGGCCUAACACAUGCAAGUCGAGGGGCAUCGGGGCGAGGAGCAAUCCUUGCCGCCGGCGACCGGCGCACGGGUGAGUAACGCGUAUGCGACCUGCCCGUUGCAGGGGGAUAAUCGGGAGAAAUCCCGUCUAAUACCGCGUAACGCCGCGGGGCUGCAUGGCCCUGCGGCCAAAGGAAGCGAUUCCGGCAACGGAUGGGCAUGCGUGACAUUAGCUAGUUGGCGGGGCAACGGCCCACCAAGGCGACGAUGUCUAGGGGUUCUGAGAGGAAGGUCCCCCACACUGGUACUGAGACACGGACCAGACUCCUACGGGAGGCAGCAGUGAGGAAUAUUGGUCAAUGGGCGCGAGCCUGAACCAGCCAAGUCGCGUGAGGGAUGACGGCCCUACGGGUUGUAAACCUCUUUUGUCGGGGAGCAAAUUCCGCCACGUGUGGCGGAGUCGAGAGUACCCGAAGAAAAAGCAUCGGCUAACUCCGUGCCAGCAGCCGCGGUAAUACGGAGGAUGCGAGCGUUAUCCGGAUUUAUUGGGUUUAAAGGGUGCGUAGGCGGACUGUCAAGUCAGCGGUAAAAUACGGGGGCUCAACCUCCGCCCGCCGUUGAAACUGACGGUCUUGAGUGGGCGAGAAGUAUGCGGAAUGCGUGGUGUAGCGGUGAAAUGCAUAGAUAUCACGCAGAACUCCGAUUGCGAAGGCAGCAUACCGGCGCCCAACUGACGCUGAAGCACGAAAGCGUGGGUAUCGAACAGGAUUAGAUACCCUGGUAGUCCACGCAGUAAACGAUGAAUACUAGCUGUCCGGGGCGAAUGAGCCCUGGGUGGCACAGCGAAAGCGUUAAGUAUUCCACCUGGGGAGUACGCCGGCAACGGUGAAACUCAAAGGAAUUGACGGGGGCCCGCACAAGCGGAGGAACAUGUGGUUUAAUUCGAUGAUACGCGAGGAACCUUACCCGGGCUCAAACGACACAGGAACGGUCCUGAAAGGGGUCGGCUCUACGGAGCCUGUGUCGAGGUGCUGCAUGGUUGUCGUCAGCUCGUGCCGUGAGGUGUCGGCUUAAGUGCCAUAACGAGCGCAACCCCCAUCGACAGUUGCUAACAGGUUAAGCUGAGGACUCUGUCGAGACUGCCGGCGCAAGCUGCGAGGAAGGCGGGGAUGACGUCAAAUCAGCACGGCCCUUACGUCCGGGGCGACACACGUGUUACAAUGGCAGGUACAGCGGGAAGCCACCUGGCGACAGGGAGCGGAACCCGAAAGCCUGUCUCAGUUCGGAUUGGAGUCUGCAACCCGACUCCAUGAAGCUGGAUUCGCUAGUAAUCGCGCAUCAGCCACGGCGCGGUGAAUACGUUCCCGGGCCU